CAAGACUGUGGGAUCAGCAGGAGCGGAGUGUUUACUGUUUCCCCUUUAAGAAGCAUAAAAGAUGUCACUUCUGGUUUAUGUAACUGCCUGAAACAAGAUAAAUUAGCUGGCAAGUGCAGUGGGUUUUAUAAGGACUAGAAGACCCUCUUCAGUGAUGUAACACCUUCCUAAUCUAAUCCAGCAUGGCCCGUGUUGACUACUGUAUAUUUUCUUACAAAUUUAUCACAAGAAGCAGAAUUUUGUCUCCUGAUACAUACAGACAAUUUCAUGAAAUAGUCCUUUUUUAUUAUUUUUGAGAGGGCUGGUGGGUGGCAUGACAGAGAGUACAAAAGAUUAUUUCUCAGUAAACCACACUCAAGCUGAAACCUUGAAAUUACAAAUUUUGUCUCCAGUUCUUCUAUCAGCUGACAUUAAUGUCUUGGCACCCCUAGGAGGCAAAGUUCCAUAUCUCCAGGAACUAGCCUUUUUUUUUCAGCAGAUAUGUAGCAGGUAACUGACAACUUCCACAGGUCACUUUCACUAGAGAUGAGAAACUCUCAGUGCGGCAGAGGCAAACCUGGCAGUCUGCAUUUUUGCCAUGCAGUUUCUGAGAAAACACUUACCAGAUUGGGUAAUCCUGCAAGCUGCACUGAUUCAUCAUAGCUAGGACACCUUCUGUGACUCAGACCACACAGAGAGGUUUACAACUGCUUUACAUCAUGGGGAGAAGUCCAAAUUGCAGGGGCUUGUAUUUUCUCUUCCAGAAUGAGUCUGAGCUCUGAGAGAUGAAGCAGUCGAGAACUGCCGAUGGUAUGUGGAACAACCAGACCAAUGCUUCCUUGGCCAGGAAUGAGCACCUCAAAUCUGGAUGCAUGUCCUUUUUCUUCUGGUACAUAUAUAACAAAAAGAUUUCAGCAAAGUAAAUACGUAGCUGCCUCCUGUGGUUUGGAUUGUGAAGAAUUAUCUCCGUGCUCACUUAGGCAAGUUCUGUCUCCUGCCUUCUGUGAACUGAGGUGCCCACCACUUCGGGUCCCAGAUCAUGGUGGUGUCCCAGAAGGAGGUUCAGUGGCAGAAGCCGAAUUUCACUGCCUUACUACAAGUGUUGGACAGUUUGCAGCUUUUUAAGUUACCAGACAUACACCAGCAGUGUACAGAAUGGACUAAAAACCAACAUGUUAAUUUGGGGAGCUGAGGCAUUAUUUUUGUUGUCUCACCACUGCUUUUCAAGAGUUGAGGUUGCCUGUACUACAUAUUACAGACAUUCUGAUGCUUAUAGACAAGCAAAUCCAAGGAAAAUGCUUACACACACACACACAAGUUUAUUUUUCUUUUACUUGUAAACAGAUAAAAAGUGAUCUGUACAGCUGAUAUAAAAAUAAAUUCACUUUGGCCUCGCUUUUGUUCA
This 1384-nucleotide long non-coding RNA is filed under the name Anas platyrhynchos platyrhynchos (common mallard). Its description in RNAcentral is "lncRNA (ENSAPLG00000020993.1)". Lineage: Eukaryota; Metazoa; Chordata; Aves; Anseriformes; Anatidae. The record is from RNAcentral.